GGUCCCCUCCACCUACUGGUGGGGAGGCCCAGCCAUAUAGGUGAGGGCCCUCCCGAGGGAGAGACCACGUCUCAAAAUUCCCCUUCUCUAGCCCUGGUCUUGCUAGAAGACAAAGAAGGUCCUCGAGAAAGACUGCGCAGUCACUGGGAAGGGGAGUUACAGCUCUCAGUUCCGCUCCCCCAACCCCGGUGUCGUUGUGGAAGAGAGGUGUCGGGUUACCGCCACCAGUGCUAUACUUAGCCGCGGACUUUGUUGAUCUGCGGGACUCCGGGGACAGGGAACAUCGUUGCGCCCGCGUAGACUUCAGCCCCCGCUGCCCGGAAACUUAAGUGCUUUUUCUCGCUCUGGGUCUUCGCCACCUCCAGGCCCUGCCGGGCCAAAUCUCUGUCCCCCAGCCCAUCGAAGCCAAGCCUGGACCGUCGCUGGUCCCACCCUCAACUGGAUCUCAACAAGUGUCUCUGAGGAAUAAUGUUGGCAGCUCUGCUGAUCGCCCUCAGCUGCCUCAGCCUCCACACCCUCGGCAGCGGUGUCCACCCAUCUGUCCCCUGGCAGAAUAUUUCCAUCCAGAACCUGAGCCUGGCUCCAGAUACAUUUGAUGAUGCCUAUGUGGGCUGCUCGGAGGAGAUGGAGGAGAAAGCAGUGCUUCUGUUAGAGAAGGAGAUGGCCAACCAUGCCCUGCUGCGGGAGUCCUGGGAGACAGCCCAGAAGACCUGGGAGCAAAAACGUCCAGGGCUCAUUCUGCCUCCUGGCUUCAGAAGCCAGCACGGAAUCGCCAUCAUGGUCUACACCAACUCAUCCAACACUUUGUACCAGGAGCUGAACCAGGCUGUGCGGACUGGUGGUGGCUCCUGGGAGUCCUACAUGAACCACUUCCCUUUCAAGGCCCUGCAUUUCUACCUGACCCGGGCCCUGCAGCUGCUGCGGGGCGGUGGGGGCUGCAGCAGGGAACCCGGGCAGGCGGUGUUCCGAGGCGUGGGCACCAUUCACUUUGAACCCAAGAAUGUGGGGGACUCUAUCCGCUUGGGCCAGUUUACGUCCAGCUCCCUGGAUGAGGCAGUGGCCCGCAGAUUUGGUAAUGCCACCUUCUUCUCUCUAAGGACUUGCUUUGGGGCCCCAAUCCAGGCCCUGUCUGUCUUUCCUAAAGAGCGUGAGGUGCUGAUCCCCCCACAUGAAGUCUUCGUGGUGACGAGUUUCUCUAAGGAAGGAAACAAAAGCCUGGUGACUCUCUCCAGCAGUGACCAGAUGUGCAGCCACUUUAACUGCGCCUAUCUGGGUGAGAAGAAGAGGCUGAGCUGUGAGUCUGUGCCAACAGGCGGGCAGGCAGACUCACUCUCCAAAGGGCCUUUCCUCUGCUCUCCUGGAAGACCCUGCUCUUGGCCUCUUGGGGGUUCCAGCUCUUAGGAGCUGGGCACUGUAAAUUCAAUGCCUGCCACUUAGGAGUCCUGGGAACAUGUGACCUCCAGAUGAAGAAGGGGGGCUUCGAAGAGCCUGGAGAAGCAACAAGAUGGUUUCAGACCCAGACCUAGCAGCCAUGUCUUCAACCAGGAUGUCGGGGGAUCUGAGGCCAUGGUAGGGUGGAGGGAGCCCCGCUAUAUGGUGGGGACUCCUGGGAACAAGCAAGGAUAGUGUUGUGAUGGCUACUCCAUUAAACAGUGCUGCAGUAUGGUGAC
This is an RNA transcript of Cervus elaphus (red deer), 1670 nucleotides long. It is a transcript of the gene named ecto-ADP-ribosyltransferase 5-like, with no coding region annotated. The transcript is spliced from 5 exons. The record is from RefSeq and is a predicted model, not a curated record. Lineage: Eukaryota; Metazoa; Chordata; Mammalia; Artiodactyla; Cervidae.